AGAGUUUGAUCAUGGCUCAGGACGAACGCUGGCGGCGUGCUUAACACAUGCAAGUCGAACGGUAAGGCCCCCUCGGGGGUACACGAGUGGCGAACGGGUGAGUAACACGUGGGUAAUCUGCCCUGCACUUCGGGAUAAGCCUGGGAAACUGGGUCUAAUACCGGAUAGGAACUCCUGCCGCAUGGUGGGGGUUGGAAAGUUUUUCGGUGCAGGAUGAGCCCGCGGCCUAUCAGCUUGUUGGUGGGGUAAUGGCCUACCAAGGCGACGACGGGUAGCCGGCCUGAGAGGGUGAUCGGCCACACUGGGACUGAGACACGGCCCAGACUCCUACGGGAGGCAGCAGUGGGGAAUAUUGCACAAUGGGCGGAAGCCUGAUGCAGCGACGCCGCGUGGGGGAUGACGGUCUUCGGAUUGUAAACCCCUUUCAGUAGGGACGAAGCGCAAGUGACGGUACCUGCAGAAGAGGCACCGGCCAACUACGUGCCAGCAGCCGCGGUAAUACGUAGGGUGCGAGCGUUGUCCGGAAUUACUGGGCGUAAAGAGCUCGUAGGCGGUUUGUCGCGUCGUCUGUGAAAUCCUCCAGCUUAACUGGGGGCGUGCAGGCGAUACGGGCAGACUUGAGUACUACAGGGGAGACUGGAAUUCCUGGUGUAGCGGUGAAAUGCGCAGAUAUCAGGAGGAACACCGGUGGCGAAGGCGGGUCUCUGGGUAGUAACUGACGCUGAGGAGCGAAAGCAUGGGUAGCGAACAGGAUUAGAUACCCUGGUAGUCCAUGCCGUAAACGGUGGGCGCUAGGUGUGGGGUCCUUCCACGGAUUCCGUGCCGUAGCUAACGCAUUAAGCGCCCCGCCUGGGGAGUACGGCCGCAAGGCUAAACUCAAAGGAAUUGACGG
Molecule: ribosomal RNA, 892 nt
Filed under: uncultured bacterium
Lineage: Bacteria
Description: bacterial SSU rRNA
Rfam family: Bacterial small subunit ribosomal RNA
Source: RNAcentral